CCCUUAGAUGUUCUGGGCCGCACGCGCGCUACACUGAUGCAUUCAACGAGUUUCUUCCUGGUCCGAGAGGAAUGGGUAACCUUUUGAAAGCGCAUCGUGAUAGGGAUAGACUAUUGCAAUUAUUGGUCUUCAACGAGGAAUUCCUAGUAGACGUAGUUCAUCAGACUGCAUCGAUUACGUCCCUGCCCUUUGUACACACCGCUCGUCGCUCCUACCGAUUGAAUGCUCAGGUGAGCCAUUCGGACUUUCAUCAUGCUGGUUUCCAGUUUUGAUGAAGGAAAGUCUUGCGAACCUUAUCAUUUAGAGGAAGGAGAAGUCGUAACA
This 324-nucleotide ribosomal RNA is filed under the name uncultured eukaryote. Its description in RNAcentral is "partial 18S ribosomal RNA". It matches the Rfam family "Eukaryotic small subunit ribosomal RNA", at positions 1470 to 1796 of the family's 1831-position model. The record is from RNAcentral.